GGAGGAGCUUCUGACGUGCAACACCCAAGGGGUAACAGCUGGCAGCAGAGGAGCAGAGCCUCACGUGGUAAACACGAAUCUACAGAACAUUAGGAUGAGACUUUCCAGUAAAGAUGGCAACGUGAAGCAGGAUCAUGGACCUUAUACUUUAUAAAAUGAACAAAAUACAGCUUCAACAAAAAUUCUUAAAAUUUUCUAGUAGCAACUGAGCAAGAAACGGGGUACAAUCUUGUGCCAAAACUGUGCAUUAGAGCUGUGCCUGCAUCUAAUCCUACUGCAGAGAUUGAGGACAGAAGGAAAAUCAAUAAUGCUGAGAAUUAUCCUAAUAUGCUCCAAUUAGGAGACAAGUCUCAGAAGACCCCGCAGGACACAUCUCCCAAGCACCAGGACCUUUGCCAGACUCCAGGAGAAAAUGGCUGCAGCAGAAGAGAGCUCCACCCAACCUCUCCAGUCCAGAUAAACCCUCACAUGCCCUUGUAAUUACCUACUGAUAUGAAGAUGGACUAAUUCUCUUCACCACUUGGAAGCACCUAUUGAUAUGCAGAUGUACUAAAGCCAGGCGAGAGAUUCUGGAAAUAUUGCAGUUUUACCCACACAAACUUUAUGACACAAUGGUCAUGGUAAAGCACAGCCCCCUCUCUCUUCUCUUUGUCUCUGUCUCACUCAUCCUUGCGAUGACCACACCUUGACUGUGCCUUGGUCUCUUUCCCUUCUGCACACUUGUCCAUCUGUCCUUCUCCUAUGCUCUCCCUUGGGGGCUUCAGCCGCGCAGGGCCUGCUGCAAGACCCCUCCCUGAGCCUUGUGCUUGGGUUGGGGGAGCUCCUUCCCCUCAUUCUCAUUGCACUUGCCAACACCAGCGGGACUCUGUUUAUCUGCCUGCCUUUCUCUCCACACAGUGAGUCUCAUGAGGACAGGGCCUCUCUUUCAUGGCAGAGUUUGGUGUCUGGCACAUAGUAGGCCCUGCAUAAAUGUUUGCUGAAGGAAUGAAGGAGGGAAUGAAUAAA
Manis pentadactyla (Chinese pangolin) is the source of this 1005-nucleotide long non-coding RNA. RefSeq lists it as uncharacterized. The transcript is spliced from 4 exons. Lineage: Eukaryota; Metazoa; Chordata; Mammalia; Pholidota; Manidae. The record is from RefSeq and is a predicted model, not a curated record.